UAAGAGGUCCCGCCUGCCCUGUGACUAAUGUUUAACGGCCGCGGUAUCUUGACCGUGCGAAGGUAGCGCAAUCACUUGUCCUUUAAAUGGGGACCUGUAUGAAUGGCACAACGAGGGCUUAACUGUCUCCCCCCUCCUGUCAGUGAAACUGAUCUCCCCGUGAAGAAGCGGGGAUUCCACUACCAGACGAGAAGACCCUAUGGAGCUUAAAACAAAAGAGGGCCUAUAUAAACCAAGGGCAGAUAAACACAGCAGUUGUUUAGUUCCCUCCGUAGUUUUUGGUUGGGGCGACCGUGGAGAAACAAAAAACCCCCAUGCAGAACAGGAUUACUAGAACCUUAAACCCAGAGCCACAGCUCUAAGUAUCAAAAUAUUUGACAGACGAUCCGGCCCCCGGCCGAUCAACGGACCUAGUUACCCUAGGGAUAACAGCGCAAUCUCCUCCCAGAGCCCAUAUCGACGAGGGGGUUUACGACCUCGAUGUUGGAUCAGGACAUCCAAAUGGUGCAGCCGCUAUUAAGGGUUCGUUUGUUCAACG
RNAcentral lists this ribosomal RNA (538 nucleotides) under Synodus variegatus (variegated lizardfish). Its description in RNAcentral is "partial 16S large subunit ribosomal RNA". It matches the Rfam family "Bacterial large subunit ribosomal RNA", at positions 1846 to 2586 of the family's 2925-position model. Lineage: Eukaryota; Metazoa; Chordata; Actinopteri; Aulopiformes; Synodontidae. The record is from RNAcentral.